This 483-nucleotide ribosomal RNA is filed under the name uncultured bacterium. RNAcentral's name for it is "partial 16S ribosomal RNA". It matches the Rfam family "Bacterial small subunit ribosomal RNA", at positions 30 to 507 of the family's 1533-position model. The record is from RNAcentral.
UUGAACGCUGGCGGCAGGCCUAACACAUGCAAGUCGAGCGGAUGAAGGGAGCUUGCUCCUGGAUUCAGCGGCGGACGGGUGAGUAAUGCCUAGGAAUCUGCCUGGUAGUGGGGGAUAACGUCCGGAAACGGGCGCUAAUACCGCAUACGUCCUGAGGGAGAAAGUGGGGGAUCUUCGGACCUCACGCUAUCAGAUGAGCCUAGGUCGGAUUAGCUAGUUGGUGGGGUAAAGGCCUACCAAGGCGACGAUCCGUAACUGGUCUGAGAGGAUGAUCAGUCACACUGGAACUGAGACACGGUCCAGACUCCUACGGGAGGCAGCAGUGGGGAAUAUUGGACAAUGGGCGAAAGCCUGAUCCAGCCAUGCCGCGUGUAUGAAGAAGGUCUUCGGAUUGUAAAGCACUUUAAGUUGGGAGGAAGGGCAGUAAGUUAAUACCUUGCUGUUUUGACGUUACCAACAGAAUAAGCACCGGCUAACUUCGUG